This 442-nucleotide ribosomal RNA is filed under the name uncultured bacterium. Its description in RNAcentral is "partial 16S ribosomal RNA". It matches the Rfam family "Bacterial small subunit ribosomal RNA", at positions 338 to 795 of the family's 1533-position model. The record is from RNAcentral.
UCUACGGGAGGCAGCAGUGGGGAAUAUUGGGCAAUGGGCGCAAGCCUGACCCAGCAACGCCGCGUGAAGGAAGAAGGCUUUCGGGUUGUCAACUUCUUUUAAGAGGGAAGAGCAGAAGCCGGUACCUCUUGAAUAAGCCACGGCUAACUACGUGCCAGCAGCCGCGGUAAUACGUAGGUGGCAAGCGUUGUCCGGGCUUACUGGGUGUAAAGGGCGGGGAGCCGGGAAGACAAGUCUGAUGUGAAAUCCCGCGGCUCAACCAAGGAACUGCAUUUGAAACUGUUUUUCUUGAGUACCGGAGAGGUCAUCGGAAUUCCUUGUGUAGCGGUGAAAUGCGUAGAGAUCACGAAUAACUCCGAUUGCGAAGGCAGCUUACUAAACUGCCACUGACAUUGAUGCUCGAAAGUGUGGGUAUCAAACAGGAUUAGAUACCCCUGUAGUC